AGCAGUGGGGAAUUUUCCGCAAUGGGCGAAAGCCUGACGGAGCAAUACCGCGUGAGGGAGGAAGGCUCUUGGGUUGUAAACCUCUUUUCUCAGGGAAGAACACAAUGACGGUACCUGAGGAAUCAGCAUCGGCUAACUCCGUGCCAGCAGCCGCGGUAAUACGGAGGAUGCAAGCGUUAUCCGGAAUGAUUGGGCGUAAAGCGUCCGCAGGUGGCAAUGUAAGUCUGCUGUUAAAGAGUGAGGCUCAACCUCAUAAAAGCAGUGGAAACUACAUAGCUAGAGUGCGUUCGGGGCAGAGGGAAUUCCUGGUGUAGCGGUGAAAUGCGUAGAUAUCAGGAAGAACACCGGCGGCGAA
Molecule: ribosomal RNA, 355 nt
Filed under: uncultured Nostoc sp.
Lineage: Bacteria; Bacillati; Cyanobacteriota; Cyanophyceae; Nostocales; Nostocaceae
Description: bacterial SSU rRNA
Rfam family: Bacterial small subunit ribosomal RNA
Source: RNAcentral